GACGAACGCUGGCGGCGUGCUUAACACAUGCAAGUCGAACGGAAAGGCCCUGCUCUUGCGGCGUGCUCGAGUGGCGAACGGGUGAGUAACACGUGAGUAACCUGCCCUUGACUUUGGGAUAACACCAGGAAACAGGGGCGAAUACCGGAUAGGAGCUCCUGCUGCAUGUUGGGGGUUGGAAAGUUUCGGCGGUUGGGGAUGGACUCGCAGCUUAUCAGCUAGUUGGUGGGGUAGUGGCUUACCAAGGCUAUGACGGGUAGCCGGCCUGAGAGGGUGACCGGCCACCAUGGGACUGAGAGACGGCCCAGACUCCUACGGGACGCAGCGGUGGAGAGUAUUGCGCAGUAGGCGGGAGCCUGAUGCAGCAGCGCCGCGUGCGUGAUACCGGCCUUCGAGUUAUAAACCACUUUGGCAUGUGACGAAGCGUGAGUGACGGUAAUGGGUAAGAAAGCACCGGCUAACUACGUG
RNAcentral lists this ribosomal RNA (468 nucleotides) under uncultured bacterium. Its description in RNAcentral is "partial 16S ribosomal RNA". It matches the Rfam family "Bacterial small subunit ribosomal RNA", at positions 28 to 507 of the family's 1533-position model. The record is from RNAcentral.